UGAUACACACGCUUCUUUACAAACUUAAAACACAGAUUCAAAAUUUGAAUUUCAAAUCAUAUCCUACUCUUUUUCUCCUUUACAUUUGAUUAUCUUAGCCUCUCUCCCUCUCUUAAGCAUCCAAUCAUCUUAAUUUCUAUUUCAAUUCUUUAUUCGUUCUCUAUCCUUUGAUUUUUUUUUUAAAAAUUUGUCGUGACUUAAUUUCAUUGUAUACAACUCUACUUAUUUGAAAAAUAAAACUAACGAAUUCUCGAUGUUAAUUUUUUCAGAUUUGUGGCUGGAAAUCAAGCAUAGGAGGAUCUACUCGCAAAAGAUGUGAAUGAAUAUAAGGUUGAUUUAUUACAGAACAUGUAUGUGAUCGAUUCAGUUCAUUUCUAUGAGGGUGGAGCUGCAGCAUGGUGCAUUGACUUUCAGAAACUUCAAGGUCAUGAUAUUACAAUUUUAGGAGGUUGUGCGAAUAUAUUUUUGGUGAAGCAAGUAUGAAGCCUAAAUCAAAGAUUUUAUUGCAGUGUGAAGGAACAAGUCCUUGAAAGUUUCCAUGAUACAGAGUUUUGGUAUGCAGAACAAGGUAGCAUGUCAGGAAAUUUAACACGUUCAGGCUCAAUGAGGAGGAUCAUUCCUCCGCCUCAGCAUACAGAACUGAAGUUGUGGCUGCCAGUUCUUUGUCUACCUUCCAACGGCCUUUCUGAUGAGUGAAAAAAGCAUUUACGACACCAAAGCAAUUGCACUAAUUAUAUUCUUAAACCAGUGAUGACAAUUAACAGUAGCGUUCUUGCUGAGAUGGAAAUCCCGAUACAUAUAUGACAUCUAUUUCUAAGCUAUGGAAGAGUGCCAAAGUCUCGGCUUUACAAAAUCAAGGUAAAUGAGAAUCACGGUUGCUGCUUAUUCUCUUCUAGAAGCUUUUUGGGGGACGAAAGGAGUGUUAAAAUCCGAUUUUCUAAUGAAAAUUGCAAAGUCAAAAAGUAAGUCUGUAGCACAGAUUGCCUUGAGAUGGGCUUAUGAGCAAUGGGUGCUUAUUGUGGUGAAUAGAUUCAACAAAGAGAGACUAAAGCAGAAUCUUGAAAUUGGCAAACCUUGCGCAGUUCUUUAUCUCUGAAGCUAUCCCUUUCAAGACAGUCCAGGAGCUCUGGGAUGGAGAACUUUGAAAAAAGCUUUCUUGCCGGGUUAUGCUUUCCAAAUUUUAUACAUACUUGUUAUGUAAUAAUUCCUAUAACGCACAUUUGUUUUCUGUAGUAAGGAAAUAAUAGUUUGAACAACUUCUUUAAAAUUAUAUUUUUCUUAACAAAUAUAAUUAACUUUUUUUUUUAGUUUUAUGUUCUAGAAAUUGUGCAUUGUUUAUAAACAUAUACUCAUAAAGAUUUAAGAAAGACAACAACCAAAUAUUAGAGAAUUAUGUUUUCAACGCACAUUAAUUUUAGA
This is a long non-coding RNA of Daucus carota subsp. sativus, 1419 nucleotides long. RefSeq lists it as uncharacterized. Lineage: Eukaryota; Viridiplantae; Streptophyta; Magnoliopsida; Apiales; Apiaceae. The transcript has 6 exons. The record is from RefSeq and is a predicted model, not a curated record.